RNAcentral lists this ribosomal RNA (458 nucleotides) under uncultured bacterium. Its description in RNAcentral is "partial 16S ribosomal RNA". It matches the Rfam family "Bacterial small subunit ribosomal RNA", at positions 338 to 795 of the family's 1533-position model. The record is from RNAcentral.
CCUACGGGGAGCAGCAGUGGGGAAUAUUGCACAAUGGGGGAAACCCUGAUGCAGCGACGCCGCGUGAGUGAAGAAGCGUUUCGGCGCGUAAAGCUCUGUCAGCGGGGAAGAAACACGGUUCGCGAGAGCCGCGGACGGUACCCGACCAAGAAGCCCCGGCUAACUACGUGCCAGCAGCCGCGGUAAUACGUAGGGGGCAAGCGUUAUCCGGAUUUACUGGGUGUAAAGGGAGCGUAGACGGCGAUGCAAGUCUGAAGUGAAAGGCGGGGGCCCAACCUCCGGACUGCUUUGGAAACUGUAUGGCUGGAGUGCAGGAGAGGUAAGUGGAAUUCCUAGUGUAGCGGUGAAAUGCGUAGAUAUUAGGAGGAACACCAGUGGCGAAGGCGGCUUACUGGACUGUAACUGACGUUGAGGCUCGAAAGCGUGGGGAGCAAACAGGAUUAGAUACCCCUGUAGUC